UACGUAGGUGGCAAGCGUUACUCGGAAUCACUAGGCGUAAAGCGCAGGUAGGCGGUUUGAUAAGUCUGUUGUGAAAGCUCCCGGCUUAACUGGGAGAGGCCAACGGAAACUGUCAGGCUUGAGUGUGGUAGAGGUAGCUGGAAUUCCCGGUGUAGCGGUGAAAUGCGUAGAUAUUGGAAAGAACACCGAUGGCGAAGGCACUCUACUGGGCUAUUACUGACACUCAGAGACGAAAGCUAGGGGGAGCAAAUGGG
This 254-nucleotide ribosomal RNA is filed under the name uncultured bacterium. RNAcentral's name for it is "partial 16S ribosomal RNA". It matches the Rfam family "Bacterial small subunit ribosomal RNA", at positions 524 to 776 of the family's 1533-position model. The record is from RNAcentral.